AUUUCCAAGCACAUAUCUGAGUUGUAUGUGUGGACAGCACUGAGACUGAGUCUUUCCACAGCUAGGACUGAGUGUCUCCACGUCCUUUCUGAAGCCUACGAAGCUCAUUUAUGUGCUCUGAGAUACAUCUAUUCAAGCACAUACCAAGGAAAUGCUCACUGUGCAUUUGGAAGUAGGUGUUGGACAGUUGGACUGCAGAUGUUAGGUGUCUGUGUCUCUCCACAACAUAGGCAUCAACCCCAGUCUGCCUUACGUUGGCCAUGAGCAUUGGUAGAGUCAGCCUGACUUGGCGGAAGCACGUCUCCAAAGACAACAGGCCCUCCCUCUGCCCUCCCAUCUGUGAGCUCCCUGCCCAGCACCACCUCCUGCACUGCACUUCUGCCAUCCACAUCCCAGCACACUGGCGACCUGACCAGCAGCCCUCUCUCUCAGCUUAGCAGUUCGCUCUCCAGCCACCAGAGCAGCCUCUCUGCGCAUGCAGCCCUCUCCUCGAGCACGUCACACACAGGGUACCUUGUCAAACAGGCAUAAGUGGCAGGCCAUGCCCUUUUAGGUGGGCACUGGUGAGGCAUUGGUGGACUGAAAGGUGUCACCAGGUUUUGGAGCAAAGGCCUCUCUCAGCCUCCUGUUGUUUCCAGACCACAGUGGCUGAGAAUCCCAAUAGAAGGGAAAUCUCCAAAAGAUUGAGACUUGCGCUGGGCUUCCUGUGGCCUGUGCUCGCCUCUUCUCAGACUGUUUGCUUUGCUCUGAGCAUGCCAGUGUGGAGAGCGCCUCUUCCCACCAGUCCUCAGCCACCUUCUCCACGGCAGCGACCUCCGUCUCAAGUUCCGCAUCCUCAGGCGUCAGCCUGUCCAGUAGCAUGAACACCGCGAACAGCCUCUGUCUGGGUGGGACCCCCGCGAGUGCAUCCAGCAGCAGUAGCAGGGCCGCGCCCUUGGUGACCUCAGGCAAAGCACCCCCAAACUUACCUCAGGGGGUGCCUCCCCUGCUGCACAACCAGUACCUCGUAGGUCCCGGAGGACUGCUUCCUGCCUACCCGAUCUAUGGCUAUGACGAGCUCCAGAUGCUGCAGUCACGGCUGCCAGUGGACUACUAUGGAAUUCCCUUUGCUGCACCCACAGCGCUUGCCAGCCGAGAUGGGAGCCUAGCUAAUAAUCCAUAUCCAGGUGAUGUCACAAAGUUUGGCCGUGGGGACUCUGCAUCCCCUGUACCCGCUACCACACCAGCUCAGCCACAGCAGAGCCAAUCACAGACCCACCACACAGCCCAGCAGCCCUUCCUGAACCCUGCACUGCCACCUGGCUAUAGCUACACUGGUCUUCCCUACUACACAGGCAUGCCC
This 1342-nucleotide small RNA is filed under the name Pan troglodytes (chimpanzee). RNAcentral describes it as "processed transcript". The record is from RNAcentral. Lineage: Eukaryota; Metazoa; Chordata; Mammalia; Primates; Hominidae.